Molecule: ribosomal RNA, 477 nt
Filed under: Peptostreptococcus sp. canine oral taxon 033
Lineage: Bacteria; Bacillati; Bacillota; Clostridia; Peptostreptococcales; Peptostreptococcaceae
Description: bacterial SSU rRNA
Rfam family: Bacterial small subunit ribosomal RNA
Source: RNAcentral
GAGUUUGAUUAUGGCUCAGGAUGAACGCUGGCGGCGUGCCUAACACAUGCAAGUCGAGCGCGGUUGUGCUUAGUAUUGAGUGUUUUAUUGAUAUAAAACAUUGAAUUCUAUGCACAACUGAGCGGCGGACGGGUGAGUAACGCGUGGGUAACCUGCCCUAUACACAUGGAUAACAUACUGAAAAGUUUACUAAUACAUGAUAAAAUAGUUUUUCGGCAUCGAAGAAUUAUCAAAGUGUUAGCGGUAUAGGAUGGACCCGCGUCUGAUUAGCUAGUUGGUGAGAUAACUGCCCACCAAGGCGACGAUCAGUAGCCGACCUGAGAGGGUGAUCGGCCACAUUGGAACUGAGACACGGUCCAAACUCCUACGGGAGGCAGCAGUGGGGAAUAUUGCACAAUGGGCGCAAGCCUGAUGCAGCAACGCCGCGUGAACGAUGAAGGUCUUCGGAUCGUAAAGUUCUGUUGCAGGGGAAGAUAA